CUUGCCUGCCUUGCCGCCGUGGCUGUUGCCACUCCUCAGUUCGAGGACCGAGUGGUCGCCCUCCUUCGCGAUGACCGUAUAGCCAACGAAGACGGCACCUUCUCCUAUGCCGUGGAAGCCGACAACGGCAUCAACACAGCCGUUGAAGGGGUUGUUGGAUCUGCCGGUCAGAUCAACCAGGCAGGAUCUUACACUUAUACCCUUGCGGACGGCACCCAGGCUGUUGUUACUUUCGUCGCCAACGAGAACGGCUUCCAACCCCAGUCCAGCAUCCUGCCCACUCCCCACCCUCUUCCUGCCCACGUCUUUGAGCUGUUGGAAAUCGCUGAGCGUCAACGUGCCGCGGGCAUUGUGUUCAACUAAGAAAAAAAAAAAAAAAAAAACCGAAAUGGAUGGAUGUUUAAUGAAUGCUACUUGAAUAAAAUUUACGACUGAU
Long non-coding RNA from Penaeus chinensis, 436 nucleotides. RefSeq lists it as uncharacterized. Lineage: Eukaryota; Metazoa; Arthropoda; Malacostraca; Decapoda; Penaeidae. The record is from RefSeq and is a predicted model, not a curated record. The transcript has 2 exons.